RNAcentral lists this long non-coding RNA (253 nucleotides) under Carica papaya (papaya). Its description in RNAcentral is "long non-coding RNA (CPAP_LNC016026)". The record is from RNAcentral. Lineage: Eukaryota; Viridiplantae; Streptophyta; Magnoliopsida; Brassicales; Caricaceae.
AAUAAUAAAAAAAGGAAAAAAUAGAGAAAAAUGGAGAAAAUUACGCUCAUCAGUGUCGAUAUAGACUUUCGGCAUGACAGUGUUGCUGUCGCUCUGCCGUCUGCAAUUGACUCCGGCAUCUCCCUAUCAACGCGCAUCCCCGGUCGUUAGAUUGAUGUGUGUAUUCGAAUUGAGGCUGUCCAAUCUCAGGCAUGUAAAUUGCCUUCAUGGGAUCCCAUGUCAGACUCCUUGCUAGCGUGGCCACCACAAGAUG